RNAcentral lists this ribosomal RNA (274 nucleotides) under uncultured prokaryote. Its description in RNAcentral is "partial 16S ribosomal RNA". It matches the Rfam family "Bacterial small subunit ribosomal RNA", at positions 524 to 798 of the family's 1533-position model. The record is from RNAcentral.
CACGGGGUUGCGAGCGUUGUCCGGAAUUACUAGGCGUAAAGGGCAGGCAGGCGGAUCCAUAAGUUUAUCGUUUAAGGCGUCGGCUUAACCGGCGUAGGGCGGUAGAUACUGUGGAUCUGGAAUGCGGUUGGGGAAGACAGAAUUCCUGGUGCAGCGGUGGAAUGCGCAGAGAUCAGGAGGAAUACCGAAGGCGAAGGCAGUCUUCCAAGCCGUUAUUGACGCUCAACUGCGAAGGUGUGGGUAUCAAACAGGAUUAGAUACCCUGGUAGUCCCU